CGCUGCCUCGCCUCCGCCCUCGCACGCCGGUCCGUCGGACACGGAAGCACGAUAUAACUAGAAAAGACCAUGUGUUGUGGCCACCAUCUAUAUGUCCUACACAAUAUCUAUUUGGAAGAAUGGAAGCGAAGGACGAAGCUGGCGGCGGAGGUGGCCAAAUCAGCAACAGAGAUAGACCACAGAAGCAAGGGUAGAUUGGACUUUGAAACCAAGUCCGUCUCGUCCUUGUGUCGGGCUGCUUCUUCCAAGACUGCAGAAGUGCUUACAUGAAUUUUGGAUCAAUUCGCAUUAAUGAAAGCUUCAUAAAUUACCUUAGGACAAAAAGGACAUGAAAUCUAUUUCCAUUUGUUAUUCGUUUGUGCUUGAAUGAGAUGAAUCUUAGCUUGGGAUUGUACCUUCUUUUUGA
Molecule: long non-coding RNA, 406 nt
Organism: Panicum virgatum (switchgrass)
Lineage: Eukaryota; Viridiplantae; Streptophyta; Magnoliopsida; Poales; Poaceae
Exons: 2
Source: RefSeq, a predicted model, not a curated record